Molecule: ribosomal RNA, 271 nt
Filed under: uncultured archaeon
Lineage: Archaea
Description: partial 16S ribosomal RNA
Rfam family: Archaeal small subunit ribosomal RNA
Source: RNAcentral
CAGCGCCACAAGUGGCAAUCACGUUUAUUGGGCCUAAAGCGUCCGUAGCCGGUUUAGCAAAUCUUUUGUGAAAUCGUCAGGCUUAACUUGACGAAUUGCAGAAGACACUACUAAACUAGGGACUGGGAGGAGUCAGAAGUAUUCUGGGGGGACCGGUAAAAUGGUAUAAUCCCCAGAGGACUACCGAUGGCGAAGGCAUCUGACCAGAACAGAUCCGACGGUGAGGGACGAAAGUCAGGGGAGCAAACCGGAUUAGAUACCCGUGUAGUCC